Long non-coding RNA from Carassius auratus (goldfish), 382 nucleotides. RefSeq lists it as uncharacterized. Lineage: Eukaryota; Metazoa; Chordata; Actinopteri; Cypriniformes; Cyprinidae. The transcript is spliced from 4 exons. The record is from RefSeq and is a predicted model, not a curated record.
UUGGGCAAACAGACUUUCAGCACAGUGGUAUAACCAAUCAAAUCCUCUCUUUCAACCGGGAGGGCGGGGCAUUUAGUGGAAUGUCAAACUUAUUGCUUCUGCUAACUAUAACGACGCCAAUAAAACCGAUUGUGUCCGGAAUGGAGCACAGGGAACGAAAAGACACGACUCUGAUGUUCAUGAAAAGACUUGGGUCACAGCUGAGAAAGCCACUUCACACAAAAAAAAAAGCCUUCACACAAAAGAAGACUGGGAGGCUGCUAAAUGCAGUUCAACAUGGCAAACAUGAAUACAAAGCUCCAGUAAGCCAGCAGGUAAAUCAUCAUAUAGAAUAUUUAGCAGUUUGUCACACUUUAAUCCUUGUAAUUAAUUAUAUUUCUCA